This 630-nucleotide ribosomal RNA is filed under the name uncultured bacterium. RNAcentral's name for it is "bacterial SSU rRNA". It matches the Rfam family "Bacterial small subunit ribosomal RNA", at positions 43 to 689 of the family's 1533-position model. The record is from RNAcentral.
AAGGCCUAACACAUGCAAGUCGAGCGGUAACAGGGGAAGCUUGCUUCUCGCUGACGAGCGGCGGACGGGUGAGUAAUGCUUAGGAAUCUGCCCAGUAGUGGGGGAUAGCCCGGGGAAACCCGGAUUAAUACCGCAUACGUCCUACGGGAGAAAGCAGGGGAUCUUCGGACCUUGCGCUAUUGGAUGAGCCUAAGUCGGAUUAGCUAGUUGGUGGGGUAACGGCCUACCAAGCCUACGAUCUAUAGCUGGUUUUAGAGGAUGAUCAGCCACACUGGGACUGAGACACGGCCCAGACUCCUACGGGAGGCAGCAGUGGGGAAUCUUGGACAAUGGGGGCAACCCUGAUCCAGCCAUGCCGCGUGAGUGAUGAAGGCCUUAGGGUCGUAAAGCUCUUUCGCCUGUGAAGAUAAUGACGGUAGCAGGUAAAGAAACCCCGGCUAACUCCGUGCCAGCAGCCGCGGUAAUACGGAGGGGGUUAGCGUUGUUCGGAAUUACUGGGCGUAAAGCGCGCGUAGGCGGAUUGGAAAGUUGGGGGUGAAAUCCCAGGGCUCAACCCUGGAACUGCCUCCAAAACUACUAGUCUAGAGUUCGAGAGAGGUGAGUGGAACUCCGAGUGUAGAGGUGAAAUUC